UUGUUUGCAGGCUCAGAUCCUGAUGACAUGGAGCACGACGAAUUGGAAGACUCAAGUCACAAUACCUAUGUCGACCAUGAUCCAUUGGACUAUGUCUACUCAAACCUCCCAGACCACACACACAUCCUGAAGCACGCCGCAAAUUGCGAUCACUGCGAGGCCAAGAAGUUUGUGUCUGAGGCCCCGGGAUUCUGCUGUCGCAGUGGGCAGAUCCAGCUGAAGCAACCGGAGCCCGUCCCGGAGCUAAUGAGGCUUUGGUCUAGCAUGGAUGCGGACUCAAGGCAUUUUCGGGAGAACAUACGGUUCUUCAACGGCCACUUCUCCUUCACAACCCUC
Molecule: ribosomal RNA, 336 nt
Filed under: Triticum aestivum (bread wheat)
Lineage: Eukaryota; Viridiplantae; Streptophyta; Magnoliopsida; Poales; Poaceae
Description: partial small subunit ribosomal RNA
Source: RNAcentral